Molecule: unclassified non-coding RNA, 944 nt
Filed under: Hevea brasiliensis (rubber tree)
Lineage: Eukaryota; Viridiplantae; Streptophyta; Magnoliopsida; Malpighiales; Euphorbiaceae
Source: RNAcentral
GCAAGUAGUAUCAAAUGGUGAACUGUCACUUUUAGCCCGCAAGGCUGCUUCAGUUGGACAACGUACUGCAAGGAACCUUAUGGUUUCAGAAAGUGUGGAAGGGUAUGCUCAGUUAUUGGAGAACAUACUCCGAUUUCCAUCCGAAGUUGCAUACCCCAAGGCUGUCACUGAAAUUCCUGAAAAACCAAAAGCAGAAUGGCAAUGGCAACUUUUUGAAGCAAUCGAGACAAAAUAUUCUCAGAACAACCGUUUGAAGACCUCAAAAUAUUUGAAUGAGUUUGAAAGGCAAUGGAAUCCGACCCAAAAAGAGGAUUCUACAUCUGUGAUGGAAAAGAAUGAGGAGUUUUUGUACAGCAUUUGGGAGGAUCACAGAAGUACUGAGAUAGCGAAUGUGAGAAAGCGAAGAGAAGACGAGGAGUUGAAGGGCAGAACUGAUCAACCUCGGGGAACAUGGGAGGAAGUAUAUAGAAGUGCCAAAAGAGCUGAUCGGUCUAGGAACGAUUUGCACGAAAGGGAUGAAGGGGAACUUGAAAGAACUGGUCAACCAUUGUGCAUUUAUGAGCCUUAUUUUGGAGAAGGGACCUGGCCCUUCUUGCAUAGUACAUCACUUUAUCGUGGCCUUGGACUUUCCAGCAAAGGGCGACGACCCGGUCAUGAUGAUAUUGAUGCUCCUUCUCGGCUUUCACUUCUUAAUAACCCUUACUAUAGAGACGUUCUUGGUGAAUAUGGAGCUUUUUUCGCUGUUGCUAACAGGAUUGAUAGGAUACACAAAAAUACCUGGAUAGGGUUUCAAUCUUGGAGAGCUACAGCAAGACAGCAAUCAUUGUCCAAGGCUGCUGAAAGGUCACUACUUGAUGCUAUUGAAGCGCGAAGGCAUGGUGACACACUCUAUUUCUGGGCUCGUAUGGAUGUGGAUCCAAGGAACCCACUGAAACAAGAUUUCU